RNAcentral lists this transfer RNA (67 nucleotides) under Scaphidium formosanum. Its description in RNAcentral is "tRNA-Trp". The record is from RNAcentral. Lineage: Eukaryota; Metazoa; Arthropoda; Insecta; Coleoptera; Staphylinidae.
AAGGAUUUAAGUUAUAUUAAACUAACAGUCUUCAAAUCUGUAAAAAAAGGAGGUGCUUUAAGCCUUA